UUAUGACAUCUGACCUCAAAUCAGG
This 25-nucleotide ribosomal RNA is filed under the name Trametes gibbosa. RNAcentral describes it as "partial 28S ribosomal RNA". Lineage: Eukaryota; Fungi; Basidiomycota; Agaricomycetes; Polyporales; Polyporaceae. The record is from RNAcentral.